UACGUAGGGGGCAAGCGUUAUCCGGAUUUACUGGGUGUAAGGGGAGCGUAGGUGGCAUGGUAAGCCAGAAGUGAAAACCCAGGGCUCAACUCUGUGGAUUGCUUUUGGAACUAUCAAGCUAGAGUGCUGGAGGGGUAAGCGGAAUUCCUAGUGUAGCGGUGAAAUGCGUAGAUAUUAGGAGGAACACCGGUGGCGAAGGCGGCUUACUGGACAGAAACUGACACUGAGGCUCGAAAGCGUGGGGAGCAAACAGG
RNAcentral lists this ribosomal RNA (254 nucleotides) under uncultured bacterium. RNAcentral's name for it is "partial 16S ribosomal RNA". It matches the Rfam family "Bacterial small subunit ribosomal RNA", at positions 524 to 776 of the family's 1533-position model. The record is from RNAcentral.